This 437-nucleotide ribosomal RNA is filed under the name uncultured bacterium. Its description in RNAcentral is "partial 16S ribosomal RNA". It matches the Rfam family "Bacterial small subunit ribosomal RNA", at positions 29 to 507 of the family's 1533-position model. The record is from RNAcentral.
AGCGAACGCUGGCGGCAGGCUUAACACAUGCAAGUCGAGCGGGCAUCCUUGUGGUGUCAGCGGCAGACGGGUGAGUAACGCGUGGGAACGUGCCCUUCGGUUCGGAAUAACUCAGGGAAACUUGAGCUAAUACCGGAUACGUGCGAGAGCAGAAAGGUUUAUCUGCCGAAGGAUCGGCCCGCGUCUGAUUCGCUAGUUGGUGAGGUUACGGCUCACCAAGGCGACGAUCAGUAGCUGGUCUGAGAGGAUGAUCAGCCACACUGGGACUGAGACACGGCCCAGACUCCUACGGGAGGCAGCAGUGGGGAAUAUUGGACAAUGGGGGCAACCCUGAUCCAGCCAUGCCGCGUGAGUGAUGACGGCCUUAGGGUUGUAAAGCUCUUUUCUCCGGGACGAUAAUGACGGUACCGGAGGAAUAAGCCCCGGCUAACUUCGUG